This 255-nucleotide ribosomal RNA is filed under the name uncultured bacterium. Its description in RNAcentral is "partial 16S ribosomal RNA". It matches the Rfam family "Bacterial small subunit ribosomal RNA", at positions 524 to 776 of the family's 1533-position model. The record is from RNAcentral.
UACGUAGGGUACAAGCAUUAAUCGGAAUGAUUGGGCGUAAAGGGCGCGUAGGCGGCCUGGUAAGUCAGAUGUGAAAUUCCAAAGCUCAACUUUGGAGCUGCAUUUGAAACUACUAGGCUAAAGAGGUAAGACGGAGAAAGCGGAAUUCCACGUGUAGCGGUGAAAUGCGUAGAUAUGUGGAGGAACACCUGUGGCGAAAGCGGCUUUCUAGUUUUAACCUGACGCUGAGGCGCGAGAGCAAGGGGAGCAAACAGG